GCACACAGCUGAGAGACCCCGAGCCCAGAGUUUGCAGCAGUUUUAUACACUUUCUGGGGAAGGCAGGGACCCCACAUACAUCAUAGCAUCUCUUAGCAAAUCAUCACACACCGACAUGAUUAGCACAUUCACUGGCAGGGACAGGUUGGGUAGGGGUAAUUGGUUAGUACAAGAGGGGGAUUUGUUUGAACUGAUUGGUUUAAGCCACGAGGGGAGUAUGUGCUGAACUACAUGGUUUCCCAACAUGUUAUCAACCACCAUAAACUACUGGGAGGGUCAUCUGGCAUCCCAGGUAUUUCCUUGUCUCAUGCUGAUUGGUGGCUGCUAGGGGGUUGCUAUGGAUCCCCACCUAGCCUGACUGAGUCAGGGACACUGGCUCAGCAGAUCUCUCCUGUUAUUUGUAGAUAAACAACUCAGCAGGGUGGGUAUGUGCCUAGGAGUGCUCUGUGGGUCUUUCCAAGGACUAGGGUCACACCCCCUUCCUUGGACAGGUUUUGCUCAGAGGUAGAGGCUGGUUUUUCACUGGAUGAGGAAGGUCACUUGGAUGCUGGAGAAGAGCACUAUUAACUACCACCAUCUCAGGUGAGAGGCUGGCUCUCCCUUCUUGGUUAAUGUACAAGAUAAAUACAGAAGAGGAAAGCAGAUUCCAGAAAUAACAGCUGCUGAGCAGAAGAGAUGGGGAGUGAGUGAGUGAGUGAUGGUGUUGGGACCUGGGUGGGGAUAGAGAAUUCCAAAUUUGCAAUAACAGAGGCUCUUCUCAGCCAUUUCCAAGACUCUUAUACAUACCAGGAGGAAAGCACAUGUUUGCCCUAUGCUUUCAUCCCUCUUCAUAAGUCAGUAUCACUAGCUAAGUUGGUUGCUAGUCCUAAGGGAAUUUGAGUUCCUAGGAAGAGAGGACAAAGGUAUCCGAGGAACAGCACUAGCCCCUUAAAAGAAAGCCAGGUGCUGAAGGCUCUCUCAGAAGAAAAUGAGCUACUGUCCCAGAAAAAUGAUUUGAAAUAAUAAGAUAAAUAUCCAGAGGAAGAGAAGUUAUUACAAAUAUGAAGCAGUAAUAGUUGGUGAAGAAGAAACAAAUAGAGAUAGGAAGAAGACAUAAAAUUCCAGUGAGAUGAAGUAUGUGGUUAAGAAAUUUUCCCUGGAGGCUCAAUAAAGGGAUAAAAGAUGGAAAAUGGCUAAGAAGAUCUAAAAUAGAGAGGAUAGAAGUAGAGUGGUCAACUUUGAUCUAUUAGAGAAAGCUAAACGGAGUAGAGAAUUUUUGUUUUUGUUUUUGUUAAAAUAAUGGUUGAGAAUUCAAGAAAUUUGGAAGAGUCAGAUCAAAGGGCUUUAUAGAGCACCAGACAACAUCAACAAAGGGAAUCACAAAUCUUGACACACGAUAUGUAGUUUAAAAUACCAAAGACGAAAUUCUAAAAGCAUCCAAAUAAUAUCAUUUCACUGUAAACUGUUACAGGAUUAAAUACGGAACUUGCAUGAGACAAGAAUGAUCAGCAUCAAACUUUUAAACACUAGAAUAUUAAAGUAAUAUUUUUAAAACACUGAAGGAAAAUUACCUCAGGCCUAGAAUUGUGCAGCAUGUAAACAU
Molecule: long non-coding RNA, 1582 nt
Filed under: Marmota monax (woodchuck)
Lineage: Eukaryota; Metazoa; Chordata; Mammalia; Rodentia; Sciuridae
Source: RNAcentral